RNAcentral lists this long non-coding RNA (819 nucleotides) under Olea europaea subsp. europaea. The record is from RNAcentral. Lineage: Eukaryota; Viridiplantae; Streptophyta; Magnoliopsida; Lamiales; Oleaceae.
UUUUUUUUUCUUUUUUUUCUUUUUAAAGGAAAGAACUAGCAUUUGUUUGUAUGUACAGUUUCUUCAAUAUGUUCAAUGAUUUUGAUAUUCUUCCCCACAAAAUUUUCCUAAAUUUCUCAUUUCUUCUCACCUAUGCUCUCUUUAUCGUACCACCCUUUAUCUUGUCUUGUGUGUCAAUAAUUUUCAGACUUUCAUAUUAUUGGCAUUGAUUGUCAACUUAUGAUUCAUUCACUGUUGGCAUUUUCCAGUUUCCAAUCUACUAUCAUUUGUGUUAGGAUAGUUUUUUUACAUUUUCGAUACUGUUGUUAAGGCCUCUGCUUACCUUUCAAUUCAUAUAAUAUGGAUACUCAAACAAUCCUAUGUAUAUGGUUAGGGACUCCCUUGAAAUUAAGAAAAAACAAAAUAAAAAUGAGACAGCAUGUAACUCCUAUAACAUCACAGCCCACUGUUCGAAUCCAAUCACUAUUCAAGAAUAUGGCCUUUACAAAGAGAUGAACCAAAUAGAUGCACAAAUAAAACAUUGAUUCUGUUAAAAUAUCUAUUAAAAUUAUAACAUGUCUUGUUUGUUACAUUUAAUGAAACAAAACUCAAACUCCAUACACAGCUAGAACAGAGUCCAUAAUAUAACAUAUUAAAGGAAAACCGUGCAUACUUACAUUGUGUAAUUGAAGUCAGCCACAUAAAGACAUAACAUCAUCCCAUCUGCCACUGCAUUAACAUAAUGAACCAGUAAGGAAUUGAUUUGAAGAAUCACUUCCAGAUUCUAUAAAUUAUUUUAGUAGUGCAUGACAUGGGAAGAGUCAACUCCCAUAUAUCAAG